CAGAAAGUAGUUUUAUUAAAAAUUUUAAUUUUGGAGAUUAAAGAUGAAUUUUAUUCUUUUCUGA
RNAcentral lists this transfer RNA (64 nucleotides) under Tenebrionoidea sp. 10 KM-2017. Its description in RNAcentral is "tRNA-Pro". Lineage: Eukaryota; Metazoa; Arthropoda; Insecta; Coleoptera. The record is from RNAcentral.